Molecule: transfer RNA, 67 nt
Filed under: Marmota monax (woodchuck)
Lineage: Eukaryota; Metazoa; Chordata; Mammalia; Rodentia; Sciuridae
Description: tRNA.Thr
Source: RNAcentral
GGAUUGUGGCUCUGUGGUAGAGCACUCGCCUAGUAUGGGUGGAACCCGGGUUCAAUCCUCAGCACCA